ACAUCCAGCGAACUUGGCAGAGAUGGCCUUGGUGCCUUCGGGAACGCUGAGACAGGUGCUGCAUGGCUGUCGUCAGCUCGUGUUGUGAAAUGUUGGGUUAAGUCCCGCAACGAGCGCAACCCUUAUCCUUUGUUGCCAGCGAUUCGGUCGGGAACUCAAAGGAGACUGCCGGUGAUAAACCGGAGGAAGUGGGGAUGACGUCAAGUCAUCAUGGCCCUUACGAGUAGGGCUACACACGUGCUACAAUGGCGCAUACAAAGAGAAGCGACCUCGCGAGAGCAAGCGGACCUCAUAAAGUGCGUCGUAGUCCGGAUCGGAGUCUGCAACUCGACUCCGUGAAGUCGGAAUCGCUAGUAAUCGUGGAUCAGAAUGCCACGGUGAAUACGUUCCCGGGCCUUGUACACACCGCCCGUCACACCAUGGGAGUGGGUUGCAAAAGAAGUAGGUAGCUUAACCUCCGGGAGGGCGCUUACCACUUUGUGAUUCAUGACUGGGGUGAAGUCGUAACAAGGUAGGCGUAGCGAG
RNAcentral lists this ribosomal RNA (525 nucleotides) under uncultured bacterium. RNAcentral describes it as "bacterial SSU rRNA". It matches the Rfam family "Bacterial small subunit ribosomal RNA", at positions 984 to 1509 of the family's 1533-position model. The record is from RNAcentral.